UACGGAGGGUGCGAGCGUUGUCCGGAAUCAUUGGGCGUAAAGGGCGCGUAGGUGGCCCGGUCAGUUCGUGGUGAAAGCGCGGGGCUCAACCCUGCGUCGGCCAUGAAUACUGCCGCGGCUGGAGCACUGUAGAGGCAGGCGGAAUUCCGGAUGUAGCGGUGGAAUGCGUAGAGAUCCGGAAGAACACCGGUGGCGAAGGCGGCCUGCUGGGCAGUUGCUGACACUGAGGCGCGACAGCGUGGGGAGCAAACAGG
This 254-nucleotide ribosomal RNA is filed under the name uncultured bacterium. RNAcentral's name for it is "partial 16S ribosomal RNA". It matches the Rfam family "Bacterial small subunit ribosomal RNA", at positions 524 to 776 of the family's 1533-position model. The record is from RNAcentral.